RNAcentral lists this ribosomal RNA (253 nucleotides) under uncultured bacterium. Its description in RNAcentral is "partial 16S ribosomal RNA". It matches the Rfam family "Bacterial small subunit ribosomal RNA", at positions 524 to 776 of the family's 1533-position model. The record is from RNAcentral.
UACGUAGGGGGCGAGCGUUGUCCGGAUUUAUUGGGCGUAAAGAGCGUGUAGGCGGCCAGGUAGGUCUGCUGUGAAAACUCGAGGCUCAACCUCGAGACGUCGGCGGAAACCAUCUGGCUAGAGUCCGGAAGAGGAGAGUGGAAUUCCUGGUGUAGCGGUGAAAUGCGCAGAUAUCAGGAAGAACACCCGUGGCGAAGGCGGCUCUCUGGGACAGUACUGACGCUGAGACGCGAAAGCGUGGGGAGCGAACAGG